AAUUCAAUAGCCACUCACCACAUUAACUUCUUGUAUUUAAAUAAUUCAAGAUCAAAGGAGAGGCGAAUCUACCAUCCAUUGUACGUAUGCUCCGGGAUUUGGAUUAGUCCACUAGGUCUGACCUAUAAAAUAAUUUCUCAAAACGUUUUUGAGAACAGAGGAGGCAUCUCUGAAUUUUAGGUCAGGCUCCCACAAAUUGCCAACCCUAUAAGACGUCAACUUGUUCUACCAUAGAAUAAAGGUGCUGGCUAACGGGUAUCUCAUCAACUCUUGAAGGCUUUUUAUUCUCAAAAUUUUCUUUUUGCAACCAA
This 311-nucleotide long non-coding RNA is filed under the name Elaeis guineensis (African oil palm). RNAcentral's name for it is "long non-coding RNA (EGUI_LNC001441)". Lineage: Eukaryota; Viridiplantae; Streptophyta; Magnoliopsida; Arecales; Arecaceae. The record is from RNAcentral.